UGAACGGCUGGCGGCGUGCCUAACACAUGCAAGUCGAACGAAGCGUGAUUGAAGGAGACUCGGUCAAUGGAUAUCAUGACUUAGUGGCGGACGGGUGAGUAAUACAUGAGCAACCUGCCUUUCAGAGGGGGACAACAGCUGGAAACGGCUGCUAAUACCGCAUAACGUGCGAGAGGGGCAUCCCUUUUGUACCAAAGGAGCAAUCCGCUGAAAGAUGGGCUCAUGACUGAUUAGUUAGUUGGCAGGGCAACGGCCUACCAAGACUGCGAUCAGUAGCCGGACUGAGAGGUUGAACGGCCACAUUGGGACUGAGAUACGGCCCAGACUCCUACGGGAGGCAGCAGUGGGGAAUAUUGGGCAAUGGGCGAAAGCCUGACCCAGCAACGCCGCGUGAAGGAAGAAGGUCUUCGGAUUGUAAACUUCUUUUAUGAGGGACGAAGGACGUGACGGUACCUCAUGAAUAAGCCACGGCUAACUACGUGCCAGCAGCAGC
RNAcentral lists this ribosomal RNA (493 nucleotides) under uncultured bacterium. RNAcentral's name for it is "bacterial SSU rRNA". It matches the Rfam family "Bacterial small subunit ribosomal RNA", at positions 35 to 518 of the family's 1533-position model. The record is from RNAcentral.